This 300-nucleotide unclassified non-coding RNA is filed under the name plant metagenome. RNAcentral's name for it is "partial contains 5.8S ribosomal RNA, internal transcribed spacer 2, and large subunit ribosomal RNA". The stretch from base 1 to 104 matches the Rfam family "5.8S ribosomal RNA", at positions 51 to 154 of the family's 154-position model. The record is from RNAcentral.
AAAUGCGAUAAGUAAUGUGAAUUGCAGAAUUCAGUGAAUCAUCGAAUCUUUGAACGCACAUUGCGCCCAUUAGUAUUCUAGUGGGCAUGCCUGUUCGAGCGUCAUUUCAACCCCUAAGCACAGCUUAUUGUUGGGCGUCUACGUCUGUAGUGCCUCAAAGACAUUGGCGGAGCUGCAGCAGUCCUCUGAGCGUAGUAAUUCUUUAUCUCGCUUCUGUUAGGCGCUGCCCCCCCGGCCGUAAAACCCCCAAUUUUUUCUGGUUGACCUCGGAUCAGGUAGGAAUACCCGCUGAACUUAAGC